CUGAAACCGUGUACGUACAAGCAGUGGGAGCACAGGUUUACCUGUGUGACUGCGUACCUUUUGUAUAAUGGGUCAGCGACUUAUAUUCUGUAGCAAGGUUAACCGUAUAGGGGAGCCGGAGGGAAACCGAGUCUUAACCGGGCGUUAAGUUGCAGGGUAUAGACCCGAAACCCGGUGAUCUAGCCAUGGGCAGGUUGAAGGUUGGGUAACACUAACUGGAGGACCGAACCGACUAAUGUUGAAAAAUUAGCGGAUGACCUGUGGCUGGGGGUGAAAGGCCAAUCAAACCGGGAGAUAGCUGGUUCUCCCCGAAAGCUAUUUAGGUAGCGCCUCGUGAAUUCAUCUCCGGGGGUAGAGCACUGUUUCGGCUAGGGGGCCAUCCCGGCUUACCAACCCGAUGCAAACUGCGAAUACCGGAGAAUGUUAUCACGGGAGACACACGGCGGGUGCUAACGUCCGUCGUGAAGAGGGAAACAACCCAGACCGCCAGCUAAGGUCCCAAAGUCAUGGUUAAGUGGGAAACGAUGUGGGAAGGCCCAGACAGCCAGGAUGUUGGCUUAGAAGCAGCCAUCAUUUAA
Molecule: ribosomal RNA, 578 nt
Filed under: Salmonella enterica subsp. enterica
Lineage: Bacteria; Pseudomonadati; Pseudomonadota; Gammaproteobacteria; Enterobacterales; Enterobacteriaceae
Description: partial 23S ribosomal RNA
Rfam family: Bacterial large subunit ribosomal RNA
Source: RNAcentral